RNAcentral lists this ribosomal RNA (165 nucleotides) under uncultured bacterium. RNAcentral describes it as "partial 16S ribosomal RNA". It matches the Rfam family "Bacterial small subunit ribosomal RNA", at positions 355 to 511 of the family's 1533-position model. The record is from RNAcentral.
UAGGGAAUCUUCCACAAUGGGCGGCAAGCCUGAUGGAGCAACACCGCGUGAGUGAAGAAGGGUUUCGGCUCGUAAAGCUCUGUUGUUAAAGAAGAACAUAUCUGAGAGUAACUGUUCAGGUAUUGACGGUAUUUAACCAGAAAGCCACGGCUAACUACGUGCUAG